Molecule: small nuclear RNA, 107 nt
Filed under: Marmota marmota marmota (Alpine marmot)
Lineage: Eukaryota; Metazoa; Chordata; Mammalia; Rodentia; Sciuridae
Source: RNAcentral
GUGCUCACUUUGGGAAAAUAAACCCUGAAAUUGGAACCAUACAGAGAAGAUUAGCAUGGCCCCUGAGCAAGAAAGACAUGCAAAUUCAUGAAGCAUUCCUUUUUUUU